RNAcentral lists this ribosomal RNA (522 nucleotides) under uncultured microorganism. Its description in RNAcentral is "bacterial SSU rRNA". It matches the Rfam family "Bacterial small subunit ribosomal RNA", at positions 9 to 524 of the family's 1533-position model. The record is from RNAcentral.
GAGUUUGAUCCUGGCUCGGAUUGAACGCUGGCGGCAGGCCUAACACAUGCAAGUCGAGCGGAUGAAGGGAGCUUGCUCCUGGAUUCAGCGGCGGACGGGUGAGUAAUGCCUAGGAAUCUGCCUGGGUAGUGGGGGAUAACGUCCGGAAACGGGCGCUAAUACCGCAUACGUCCUGAGGGAGGAAAGUGGGGGAGUCUUCGGACCUCACGCUAUCAGAUGAGCCUAGGUCGGAUUAGCUAGUUGGUGGGGUAAAGGCCUACCAAGGCGACGAUCCGUAACUGGUCUGAGAGGAUGAUCAGUCACACUGGAACUGAGACACGGUCCAGACUCCUACGGGAGGCAGCAGUGGGGAAUAUUGGACAAUGGGCGAAAGCCUGAUCCAGCCAUGCCGCGUGUGUGAAGAAGGUCUUCGGAUUGUAAAGCACUUUAAGUUGGGAGGAAGGGCAGUAAGUUAAUACCUUGCUGUUUGACGUUACCAACAGAAUAAGCACCGGCUAACUUCGUGCCAGCAGCCGCCGUAAU